GUGUGCCAAGAAAACAUCCCCCACACCAUUACACCACCACCACCAGCCUGCACAGUGGUAACAAGGCAUGAUGGAUCCAUGUUCUCAUUCUGUUUACACCAGAUUCUGACUCUACCAUCUGAAUGUCUCAACAGAAAUCGAGACUCAUCAGACCAGGCAACAUUUUUCCAGUCUUCAACUGUCCAAUUUUGGUGAGCUUGUGCAAAUUGUAGCCUCUUUUUCCUAUUUGUAGUGGAGAUGAGUGGUACCCAGUGGGGUCUUCUGCUGUUGUGUGUGUUGUGGCUUCACAAAUACUUUGCUGCAUACCUCGGUUGUAACGAGUGGUUAUUUCAGUCAAAGUUGCUCUUCUAUCAGCUUGAAUCAGUCGGCCCAUUCUCCUCUGACCUCUAGCAUCAACAAGUCAUUUUCGCCCACAGGACUGCCGCAUACUGGAUGUUUUUCCCUUUUCACACCAUUCUUUGUGAACCCUAGAAAUGGUUGUGUGUGAAAAUCCCAGUAACUGAGCAGAUUGUGAAAUACUCAGACCGGCCCGUCUGGCACCAACAACCAUGCCACGCUCAAAAUUGCUUAAAUCACCUUUCUUUCCCAUUCUGACAUUCAGUUUGGAGUUCAGGAGAUUGUCUUGACCAGGAA
This is a long non-coding RNA of Carassius carassius (crucian carp), 633 nucleotides long. RefSeq lists it as uncharacterized. Lineage: Eukaryota; Metazoa; Chordata; Actinopteri; Cypriniformes; Cyprinidae. The record is from RefSeq and is a predicted model, not a curated record. The transcript has 2 exons.